AGGAUAUAGUUCAGUGGUAGAACACAUGCUUAGCAUGCACAAGGCCCUGGGUUCAAUCCCCUGUACCUA
RNAcentral lists this transfer RNA (69 nucleotides) under Camelus bactrianus (Bactrian camel). It matches the Rfam family "tRNA". Rfam says of the family: Transfer RNA (tRNA) molecules are approximately 80 nucleotides in length. The record is from Rfam by way of RNAcentral. RNAcentral also lists the same sequence under 2 other names. Lineage: Eukaryota; Metazoa; Chordata; Mammalia; Artiodactyla; Camelidae.